UCCCCGGUAGCUCAGCGGUAGAGCAAGCGGCUGUUAACCGCUUGGUCGCUGGUUCGAGUCCAGCCCGGGGAGCCA
This 75-nucleotide transfer RNA is filed under the name Candidatus Midichloria mitochondrii. Its description in RNAcentral is "tRNA-Asn(gtt)". It matches the Rfam family "tRNA". Rfam says of the family: Transfer RNA (tRNA) molecules are approximately 80 nucleotides in length. Their secondary structure includes four short double-helical elements and three loops (D, anti-codon, and T loops). Further hydrogen bonds mediate the characteristic L-shaped molecular structure. tRNAs have two regions of fundamental functional importance: the anti-codon, which is responsible for specific mRNA codon recognition, and the 3' end, to which the tRNAs corresponding amino acid is attached (by aminoacyl-tRNA synthetases). tRNAs cope with the degeneracy of the genetic code in two manners: having more than one tRNA (with a specific anti-codon) for a particular amino acid; and 'wobble' base-pairing, i.e. permitting non-standard base-pairing at the 3rd anti-codon position. Lineage: Bacteria; Pseudomonadati; Pseudomonadota; Alphaproteobacteria; Rickettsiales; Candidatus Midichloriaceae. RNAcentral also lists the same sequence under 1 other name. The record is from RNAcentral.